This 219-nucleotide ribosomal RNA is filed under the name uncultured bacterium. RNAcentral describes it as "partial 16S ribosomal RNA". It matches the Rfam family "Bacterial small subunit ribosomal RNA", at positions 524 to 741 of the family's 1533-position model. The record is from RNAcentral.
UACAGAGGGUGCAAGCGUUGUUCGGAAUUAUUGGGCGUAAAGGGCGCGUAGGCGGUUCGGCAAGUCUCUAGUGAAAUCUCUGGGCUCAACUCAGAGUCUGCUGGGGAAACUGCCGGGCUUGAGUGUGGGAGAGGAGAGUGGAAUUCCCGGUGUAGCGGUGAAAAUGCGUAGAUAUCGGGAGGAACACCUGUGGCGAAAGCGGCUCUCUGGACCACAACU